UACAGAGGUGGCAAGCGUUGUUCGGAAUUACUGGGCGUAAAGGGCGCGUAGGCGGUCUGUCAAGUCCCGUGUGAAAGCCCCCGGCUCAACCGGGGAACGGCGCGGGAAACUAGCAGGCUUGAGUUCGGGAGAGGGAAGCGGAAUUUCGGGUGUAGCGGUGAAAUGCGCAGAUAUCCGAAGGAACACCGGUGGAGAAGGUGGCUUCCUGGACCGACAUUGACGGUGAGGCGCGUAAGCUAGGGGAGCAAACGGG
Molecule: ribosomal RNA, 253 nt
Filed under: uncultured bacterium
Lineage: Bacteria
Description: partial 16S ribosomal RNA
Rfam family: Bacterial small subunit ribosomal RNA
Source: RNAcentral